RNAcentral lists this ribosomal RNA (54 nucleotides) under Trichoderma harzianum. Its description in RNAcentral is "partial 18S ribosomal RNA". Lineage: Eukaryota; Fungi; Ascomycota; Sordariomycetes; Hypocreales; Hypocreaceae. The record is from RNAcentral.
UUUUUUUUAUUUUCGUAACAAGGUUUCCGUAGGUGAACCAGCGGAGGGAUCAUU